AGCAUAUCAAUAAGCGGAGGAAAAGAAAAUAACAAUGAUUCCCUUAGUAACGGCGAGUGAAGGGGGAUAAGCUCAAAUUUUAAAUCUGGCUAGGUUUUACCUAUCAGAGUUGUAUUUUGAAGAAGCGUUUUCCGCGUCUCGGUUGGCCCAAGUCCUUUGGGAUAAGGUAUCAUGGAGGGUGAGAAUCCCGUUCGGUUGACCUUAUGACGCUUUACGAUACGCUUUCAAAGAGUCGAGUUGUUUGGGAUUGCAGCUCAAAAUGGGAGGUAAAUUUCUCCUAAGGCUAAAUAUCGGCGAGAGACCGAUAGCGAACAAGUACCGUGAGGGAAAGAUGAAAAGAACUUUGAAAAGAGAGUAAAAUAGUACGUGAAAUUGUUGAAAGGGAAACGAUUGAAGUCAGUCGUACCGACGAGAAAUCAGCUCUUCGAGUGCGAACUUGUGGGCGUGCGUGAGUCUUUAACGGGCCUCGCUGUUUGCAAUGUUUGUGCUUUUUGGGUGUACUUUUUCGUAUGGUAGGCCAACGUCAGUUUCGAUUACCAUAAAAUGAUCGGAGGAAUGUAGCUUCGAUCUCGUAUUGAAGUGUUAUAGCCUCUGGUAGAUGUGGUGACCGAAACUGAGGAUUGCAACGAAUACCCUUUGGGCUAUCCGUCUGACCUCUGAAAGUUGCUUAGGUGCCGAAAGCUUGCUUACGGUCAUUUAAGUUGACGGUCAAAAGGUUAGAACGUGAUUACANNNNNNNNNGACGUUGGCGUAAUGGCUUUAAACGACCCGU
This 772-nucleotide ribosomal RNA is filed under the name uncultured fungus. RNAcentral's name for it is "eukaryotic LSU rRNA". It matches the Rfam family "Eukaryotic large subunit ribosomal RNA", at positions 37 to 652 of the family's 3401-position model. The record is from RNAcentral. Lineage: Eukaryota; Fungi.